GAAUAUUGGACAAUGGGCGAAAGCCUGAUCCAGCCAUGCCGCGUGUGUGAAGAAGGUCUUCGGAUUGUAAAGCACUUUAAGUUGGGAGGAAGGGCAGUAAGCGAAUACCUUGCUGUUUUGACGUUACCGAACGACUAAGCACCGGCUAACCCUGUGCCCGCCGCCGCGGUAACACAGAGGGUGCAAGCGUUCAUCGGAAUUGCUGGGCGUAAAGCGCGCGUAGGUGGUGCGUUAAGUUGGAUGUGAAAUCCCCGGGCUCAACCUGGGAACUGCAUCCAAAACUGGCGAGCUAGAGUAGGGCAGAGGGUGGUGGAAUUUCCUGUGUAGCGGUGAAAUGCGUAGAUAUAGGAAGGAACACCAGUGGCGAAGGCGACCACCUGGGCUCAUACUGACACUGAGGUGCGAAAGCGUGGGGAGCAAACAG
This 424-nucleotide ribosomal RNA is filed under the name uncultured bacterium. RNAcentral describes it as "partial 16S ribosomal RNA". It matches the Rfam family "Bacterial small subunit ribosomal RNA", at positions 359 to 775 of the family's 1533-position model. The record is from RNAcentral.